This 273-nucleotide ribosomal RNA is filed under the name uncultured bacterium. RNAcentral's name for it is "partial 16S ribosomal RNA". It matches the Rfam family "Bacterial small subunit ribosomal RNA", at positions 334 to 599 of the family's 1533-position model. The record is from RNAcentral.
UUGUCCUACGGGGGGCAGCAGUAGGGAAUCUUCCACAAUGGACGAAAGUCUGAUGGAGCAACGCCGCGUGAGUGAAGAAGGGUUUCGGCUCGUAAAGCUCUGUUGGUAGUGAAGAAAGAUAGAGGUAGUAACUGGCCUUUAUUUGACGGUAAUUACUUAGAAAGUCACGGCUAACUACGUGCCAGCAGCCGCGGUAAUACGUAGGGGGCAAGCGUUGUUCGGAAUAACUGGGCGUAAAGGAUGCGUAGGCGGUUAAACAAAUUUUAUGUUAAA